UACGUAGGGUGCAAGCGUUAAUCGGAAUUACUGGGCGUAAAGCGUGCGCAGGCGGUUGUGCAAGGAAGAUGUGAAAUCCCCGGGCUCAACCUGGGAAUUGCAUUUGUGACUGCACGGCUAGAGUGUGUCAGAGGGGGGUAGAAUUCCACGUGUAGCAGUGAAAUGCGUAGAGAUGUGGAGGAAUACCGAUGGCGAAGGCAGCCCCCUGGGAUAACACUGACGCUCAUGCACGAAAGCGUGGGGAGCAAACAGG
Molecule: ribosomal RNA, 253 nt
Filed under: uncultured bacterium
Lineage: Bacteria
Description: partial 16S ribosomal RNA
Rfam family: Bacterial small subunit ribosomal RNA
Source: RNAcentral